Small nuclear RNA from Chelydra serpentina (North American snapping turtle), 123 nucleotides. Lineage: Eukaryota; Metazoa; Chordata; Testudines; Chelydridae. The record is from Ensembl.
GUGUGAUAUGAAAGGAGAGAGGGUUAGCACUCACCUUGAUAAGAGUGGGAGAGUUGUAGUGGCCUUUUCAACACACAUAUGGUUAAGGCAUUGCCACUUACUCAUGGCACCUAAUCACUUUUG